RNAcentral lists this ribosomal RNA (469 nucleotides) under uncultured bacterium. Its description in RNAcentral is "bacterial SSU rRNA". It matches the Rfam family "Bacterial small subunit ribosomal RNA", at positions 28 to 507 of the family's 1533-position model. The record is from RNAcentral.
GACGAACGCUGGCGGCGUGCUUAACACAUGCAAGUCGAACGAAGACAUCUGAGUGCUUGCACUUGGAUGGACUGAGUGGCGGACGGGUGAGUAACGCGUGGGUAACCUGCCUUAUACAGGGGGAUAACAGUUGGAAACGACUGCUAAUACCGCAUAAGCGCACGGUAUCGCAUGAUACAGUGUGAAAAACUCCGGUGGUAUAAGAUGGACCCGCGUCUGAUUAGCUUGUUGGUGAGGUAACGGCCCACCAAGGCGACGAUCAGUAGCCGGCCUGAGAGGGUGAACGGCCACAUUGGGACUGAGACACGGCCCAAACUCCUACGGGAGGCAGCAGUGGGGAAUAUUGCACAAUGGGGGAAACCCUGAUGCAGCGACGCCGCGUGAGUGAUGAAGUAUUUCGGUAUGUAAACUCCUGUUGUUGAGGAAGAUAAUGACGGUACUCAACAAGGAAGUGACGGCUAACUACGUG